AGAGCGAGCCGCCGUUCAGGUCAACUACUGACGAACAAAUCUUUUGCGAAGGGGAUUGCAAAUCCGACAAAAAGUGGGGUUUUUCAGACCAAAACGCGUUAUGCCUGCAUGAAAGCAGGAGUGAAGCGGCGUACCGCGACGCCGCUAUUUAUCGGAAGGUUUAUCUUGCUGCGGUUUGUUGUUGACCAUAUCGCACAACAUAGAGAGCAGCAUUAACCGUACUUUAAAGGGAGAAUGACUAAACACGCGCAUACACCUCUUGAACUCAUUCAUAAGACCUCCUGACUUGCUAAUCCCGUCGAUCCUUGAGGGAUGAUUGCAUUACAUACAGAUAUAGCAC
This 340-nucleotide small RNA is filed under the name Escherichia coli. Its description in RNAcentral is "RybA sRNA". Lineage: Bacteria; Pseudomonadati; Pseudomonadota; Gammaproteobacteria; Enterobacterales; Enterobacteriaceae. The record is from RNAcentral.